RNAcentral lists this long non-coding RNA (1314 nucleotides) under Gadus morhua (Atlantic cod). Its description in RNAcentral is "lncRNA (ENSGMOG00000036195.1)". Lineage: Eukaryota; Metazoa; Chordata; Actinopteri; Gadiformes; Gadidae. The record is from RNAcentral.
AUCCUGACAAUAAAAAUAUAAUAAACAACUAGGCUACUAGCAAUCUAAUAUUUCCCUGUUGUACCUACCUUUGGCACAACAAGAAGGCAGUUGUCAAAAAAAUAUUGCUGUCAUCUUGCUCUUCACCUUAUAUUUACUUUUACGGUUAUCCCACUUUUUUUUGGCCUGCACUGGGGACAGCCGUCCUGUUAACUCCAUUUGUUCAAUCAAAGUGCUACACACACACACACACACACACACACACACACACACACACACACACACACACACACACACACACACACACACACACACACACACACACACACACACACACAUAUUAUUGUCUCACUCAUUGUUAAAUUAAAAAAGUACUAUUUCAUUCAUCCAAGCGUAAUGAUUUGUUAUUCUUUAAUAUAUUUGAUACUUUGUGUAUGGCUUAGUCUUAAAAGCAUCAUGGUUGUGUGUUCAGCUCCUGCCUCAUCAGAAGAAGUUGCCUGGAAACUAAAGGCUAAAUGGACUGUUGCUACUCUGCUUUCUCAAUCGCUCUCUGACCACGGGAAAUUGCUGACAAGUUAAGAUGCCAGACUUUUGUGCAGCCUACGGAUGCGUUAAUCUGCGAACUCUCGAUACGGGAACCCAUGGGAUCACCUUUCACCUGUUUCCCAAAGCAAGAGCGAUGAGGAUAAAGUGGGAAAUUGCCCUAAGAAGGGACGGUUUUGCUGCCUCUGACAGGACACUGCUCUGCAGUGACCACUUCAGGAGUGAGGACUUUGACAGGAUGUGGGGGCAUUUACAGUUUUUACAGCAUCAUGCCUUCAGUGUGCAUAUUUUAUAUAGUUCUCUGCAAACCUAUGGUAGCAUCAUGCCUUCAGUGUGCAUAUUGUAAAUAGUUCUCUGCAAACCUAUGGUGGCAUCAUGCCUUCAGUGUGCAUAUUGUAUAUAGUUCUCUGCAAACCUAUGGUGGCAUCAUGCCUUCAGUGUGUCUUGAACAGCCACAAAGGUUGCACAUAUUAGAUUAAUUUUAUCGUAUUUGUCUAAAUGCAUACUUGACUGUAGACAGAUUUGAGUAAAGUUACCAACACAAUAGAUUGCUGAGUUUUAGUAGCCCAUAUAUCGAUUUGACAUAAAUAACAUGAAUACCUUGUGCAUGUGUAUAUUUAUUGCACCCAUCUGUUCUGUUUAAUGUUCAUUUCAUAUGAAAACACAUGGUUAUAAUUACAUAAAUACAUCUCUGUACAGGGUGGGGAUUUCAACAUGCAGCCUUUCUUGACGUAUAUUUGUAAAGGGAAAUCUUGUAUCUAUUUUAGAACAUUAUUCUAUUUUUCUUAGAAC